UAGUAUCUACAAACAAUAAUAGACAACACUUACAUAAUGGUUACUACGUGCCAGGCGCUGUUCUAAACAUGCUGUUAGCAUCCCCGUUUUACAUCUGAGGAACCCGAGAGAUUUAAGUAACCGUCCCACAGCCAUGCAGCGAGCAAGCAGCCGGGGCUUGAAACCAGGCAGUCUGUUUCCUGUUCUCAUACUAUUAUGAUUCCCCUCGGGGCCCUGAGGCAUCGGUGGCCUCAAACCUUAAAAAGUCACUGGUGAGCAUAUAGAGAGCCGUUAAUUUGGGAGGAAAGAAAAGGAGCGGCUAAAAGCCUUCUAAGCUUUAUUUAAAAAAAAAAAUGCUCCAUAUACAAUAACGAUGACAGCUUAACUCAGAAAAACUGACGUCAUGUCUGCCAAAUAACUCCAGCCACUGCGGCCCUCAGGACCCCUCCCCUGGCCUCACAGCCGCAUUCUGCUACUGCAGUGGAGCAAAUGCGCAUGCCCUGGCGAGCUGCCAUUGCCAGGGAAACCAACCUCCUCAUAAACAAAACACAGUCUAAUGCGGCAAGUCAGGAAACUACUGGGACUGAGGCUGUCAGCCAAAGGAGCCCCUUGCAAUAACCGCGGGCAAGGCAGCCUCCCACUCACGCGCCCCCGCCCCACCCUUUUUUUUUCUUCCAGAAUUAGUAAAGCUAGAGGCCCGGAGCAGAAGUCAACAGAGAAAGAAAGCUUCGUUGGGGGCCCAGGAGAAGGCUAUAUAGGCAAGGCUCAACUGGAAGCUGACCUAAAUCUUGGUUAAGUGGCUUGUAAUUCUCCCUGGGAUAUAAGUGGAAUACCAACUUCAUGUACACCUGGCUUAUUCAGCACCCAUAAAAUUCAAUGGACCACCAUCCAGACAAAAGGAUAAAAACAGAACACAUCAAGAUAAUGAAUUUUCUUCAAACUAUUCAGGUACAGUGAAAAAUGGAAGUAUUAUCUCAGAAAUUACAACUGAGAGGGAUGAAGAUAUAGCAUAUGCUAUACCUAAAAGAUACAUCAAACAGGAUAUUGGGAAUAUUGAAUAUUGGAAUUGAUGAAAUUUAAUUUACGAUUGUCCUAUAAUGCCUUUUCAUUACAGUACCACACAAAUUGAGGCAAUAAAUGCAUAUUUGAU
This is a non-coding RNA of Chlorocebus sabaeus (green monkey), 1129 nucleotides long. Lineage: Eukaryota; Metazoa; Chordata; Mammalia; Primates; Cercopithecidae. The record is from RefSeq and is a predicted model, not a curated record.